UCAGCAGCAACAAUAGGAAGCUGGUCAUUGCUGGUGGUUGACCGGAAGAUGAAUGCAAGGAAAUUUUCGACCACACCAUAAAGCAAUGCAUGGCCAAUGGGGACAACGAAUAGGUCCUGCAGGCUGACAUACUGCAACUUGGCAAAGGGUACGGACUUCCAGCACCCAUGCUCAUUUGAUGCACGCUCAUAUGCCGUGGCACUCAAUGUGGGGUUAGGGAGGCAGUGAGCAUGGAAAUGGUUGUCCAUGCUGACCCCUCGAGCCCGCUGCAUGCUGUCAGUGAGCCCCAAGCAAGGGUCCCCGACCUGGACUGGUACGCCGUUAAAUCUGUAUGCAUGUCACAGUAAAGGGGACCAUGAACUUGUAGGAAUGUGCACAGGGAUGGUCACAUUCUCACAGUUGCACCAAGCUUAAGUGUGCCCAAUAUGAAGCCCCAGCAGGCAAAUGUUUUACAAACUCCUUUGAUUCAAGCACCAAGGUGACAUUAGGUGUAACACAGCAAAGGCGUAACCCGGGAUGCUCAGAUUGGCAUUUGCGUCGUUACAUUGCCCCCCACUUAGCAAUGGACGUCCUCGACCGACCCGAUGUUUGUUACAGAAAUCGUGUGGUCCCGUCUCGAUACCAUUGCAACACAGCAAAGGCAUAACCUGGGAUGUUCAGCUUGGCAAUUGCGUCGUUACAUUAGGGCAUUCAGGCUACAGGCCUCCAGAUAUCUAAUGACCCAUUUUGCAUGACACCCACUCACCUGCUGUGUGUCACCCCUUUGGCAUAUCCCUUGAAACGAGCUGUGCUACUCUCUGGUGCAGUGGCACCCUCGAAUGUACACCAGGGGCAGGCCCCAUGUAUGGAGUUGUGGCCCCUGUAGCAUCCAAGGUCGGUCCUUGCUGGCCCAUCCGCCAUUACAGAACCAAGGAAGGCAUGGUGGGAGAUCGUGUUGCAGAUGAGGGAGCCAUCUGGUCCAUAGUACACCUCAUCGACUGUCAUGGGAAUUCUAGACAGCCUGUCCAGGUCAUCGAUCACCCUACUGAGAUGAGGUCCAAGAUUGCUUGGCUUUUUGGGGCCAGGGAUGAUACCAAUAACUGCACAGUUCCAGUUCUUGCUCUUAUUUUCUUCCUUUAUGUCCGCACAGCGGAUAAACAUGAUGCCCAUGGAAUACUUGGCGCUCUUGUAUGGCUGUACCCAAUCAACACCAAUGUCGUAAAAUGAGUUGUGUGGGCUGUAUACAGCAUCACCAAGCUUGUCUGGCCUGGACAGGUGUGUCUUCAAGUAGGUGCCUGGAAAGCAAGGGAGACAAGUCAGCUGAGGUUGUAUGACAUAAGGACAUGUGAGUAAUAGGUUGUAGGGAUGGGCACCUAUGUGUUG
RNAcentral lists this long non-coding RNA (1362 nucleotides) under Volvox carteri. RNAcentral describes it as "long non-coding RNA (VCAR_LNC000384)". The record is from RNAcentral. Lineage: Eukaryota; Viridiplantae; Chlorophyta; Chlorophyceae; Chlamydomonadales; Volvocaceae.